CAGCCACACUGGGACUGAGACACGGCCCAGACUCCUACGGGAGGCAGCAGUGGGGAAUUUUGGACAAUGGGGGAAACCCUGAUCCAGCCAUGCCGCGUGAGUGAAGAAGGCCUUCGGGUUGUAAAGCUCUUUCAGCCGGAACGAAACGGUCACGGCUAAUACCUGUGACUACUGACGGUACCGGAAGAAGAAGCACCGGCUAACUACGUGCCAGCAGCCGCGGUAAUACGUAGGGUGCGAGCGUUAAUCGGAAUUACUGGGCGUAAAGCGUGCGCAGGCGGUUUUGUAAGUCAGAUGUGAAAUCCCCGGGCUUAACCUGGGAACUGCGUUUGAAACUACAA
RNAcentral lists this ribosomal RNA (341 nucleotides) under uncultured Nitrosospira sp. RNAcentral's name for it is "bacterial SSU rRNA". It matches the Rfam family "Bacterial small subunit ribosomal RNA", at positions 305 to 638 of the family's 1533-position model. Lineage: Bacteria; Pseudomonadati; Pseudomonadota; Betaproteobacteria; Nitrosomonadales; Nitrosomonadaceae. The record is from RNAcentral.